Molecule: transfer RNA, 72 nt
Filed under: Lachnospiraceae bacterium
Lineage: Bacteria; Bacillati; Bacillota; Clostridia; Lachnospirales; Lachnospiraceae
Also listed under: 1 other name
Description: tRNA-Glu
Rfam family: tRNA
About the family: Transfer RNA (tRNA) molecules are approximately 80 nucleotides in length. Their secondary structure includes four short double-helical elements and three loops (D, anti-codon, and T loops).
Source: RNAcentral
GGCCCCUUGGUCAAGCGGUUAAGACACCGCCCUUUCACGGCGGUAACAUGGGUUCAAAUCCCGUAGGGGUCA